ACGCGCGAAACCUUACCCGGGCUUAAAUUGCACUGGACUUUCCCGGAAACGGGAUUUUCUUCGGACCAGUGUGAAGGUGCUGCAUGGUUGUCGUCAGCUCGUGCCGUGAGGUGUCGGCUUAAGUGCCAUAACGAGCGCAACCCCUUGCUGCCAGUUACUAACAGGGUAAUGCUGAGGGACUCUGGCGGGACUGCCAUCGUAAGAUGCGAGGAAGGUGGGGAUGACGUCAAAUCAGCACGGCCCUUACGUC
Molecule: ribosomal RNA, 250 nt
Filed under: uncultured bacterium
Lineage: Bacteria
Description: partial 16S ribosomal RNA
Rfam family: Bacterial small subunit ribosomal RNA
Source: RNAcentral